GAACAGGAUCUUGGUUUUAUGGAUUCUGUUUCUAAUUGAUUUCAGACUUAAUAUUAUUUCCUGUUGUCUGCUUCUCUUUAGUGUAUUUUCUUAUUUUUGAUCUGGGUUUUUCAUUGUGCUUUUAAGUUGCUAGUAUAGGAUAUCACAUUUAUCUUUGUGAAGACAAUUAGUGCUCAUAUUUUAUUUUAUGUAUGCAGUGUGAAAUAUUUAAAUUGCUUAAUAUGAAGCUAGAGGAGUGAAGUAGGAUUCUUUUUUUUUUUCUUUUCUUUUUUUUUGGAGCUGGGGACUGAACCCAGGGCCUUGUGCUUGCUAGGCAAGCACUCUACCACUGAGCUAAAUCCCCAACCCCGGUGAAGUAGGAUUCUUAUGAUGUAAAAAUAUUAUUGGUAUUAAUACUCCAACAGGCCUGUCUUAAAAGGGUUAGAGAAGAAUACAGCAAAAGUCCCCCUACACAGUGCAUUCUUAGGUCUAUAUUCUCUAAACAAAGUGAUACACUGAAAAUUUUCUCCUCAUUAUUUUUAUAGUUCUCAGCUUAAUUUAUUAUAGUAUCCCUGUAAGGGUUCUUAUGUACUAGUAUGUACAGUCUACAUUAUCCUGAAAAAGGAGAAGGAGGAGGAGGAGGAGGGGAUGCGGAAGGGGAGGGAAGGGGGAGGGGAAGGAGGAGAAAGAGGUGGAGUGGGAGGAGGAGGACAAGGAGAAGAAAUGCAGCAAAGCAUUCUAAAUUGUAUCAGAAGGGUUGCCUAUAUUCAGUUACAGUAGUUACAAUUCAUGUUUUUUUUUUCUCAUAAGGCAUGAGUAUCCGCAUGACUUUAGAAUGAUAAAUAUUCAAAAGAACUUCAGUUCCCGGGACUUAAGAAAUUUUACAGCUUUUCCUUCCCUACCUGGGGUAAUCAUGAAAUGCCUAAAUGCUGAUGUACAUGGGAAAUUCAUCUUGAAGCCCAGAAACUCAGCAAGAAGCCAGCAGCAAAAGAAUAUGAAGGAAAAAACUUUUAAGAAACAAAGAACUUCUAUAACAUCGCAGUUGGACAGGGGCUCUGUGCCCCACCAGGACCAAGUAUGCACCACCCCACCAUUUAAAAAGGGAAGAAAACUGUUUGGAAGAGAACUCAGUUCCAUUUGUGAGGAUGGCAUCCUGCCUGCAGCAAUUCUGGUAUGUCUCAUAUGGUGUUUCUCUGGCUAUCCUAA
This 1185-nucleotide long non-coding RNA is filed under the name Rattus norvegicus (Norway rat). RNAcentral's name for it is "long non-coding RNA NONRATT031489". Lineage: Eukaryota; Metazoa; Chordata; Mammalia; Rodentia; Muridae. The record is from RNAcentral.